CAGAUCAGCUGCGAUAUAUGGAGCCCUAAGAGGUCUGGAGAGCGCCUUCUUGAAGCCACAGUUGCUCUGACAGCUUGGCCCAAAGUGCAGUACAAUCCCCAGGAGAAUUUUGCUUUUGAGUUAUCAGGUUGGAAAUGAACAAUAUGACAGGAACAAAGACUCGGCCAAUGACAGCAUUACGGAUGAAUGAAAGCCACCAAUGUGAGGAAGGAUUGUGGGGGGGGGAGUUCCAGAACUUUCUGAGCCACACAGAGUAAAACCCCAUUUUAAAAGAUUGCUAUGUUACAGUCAGUGCCUGAUGCUAAUUUAUUUAACCUGCAGUAUAAGCCAAGAUAAUGCACUUAACUUUACUACUAACAAAUAAAGCUCUUUUUGGAACAAAGGGAUUCCUCAAGUCUUUCCACACCAUAUCAUUCACU
Molecule: non-coding RNA, 419 nt
Organism: Paramormyrops kingsleyae
Lineage: Eukaryota; Metazoa; Chordata; Actinopteri; Osteoglossiformes; Mormyridae
Source: RefSeq, a predicted model, not a curated record